RNAcentral lists this non-coding RNA (21 nucleotides) under Caenorhabditis elegans. The record is from RNAcentral. Lineage: Eukaryota; Metazoa; Nematoda; Chromadorea; Rhabditida; Rhabditidae.
UAAAAAUGGAAUAUAGUUUAG